AUUGAACGCUGGCGGCAGGCCUAACACAUGCAAGUCGAGCGGCAGAGGGAAGUAGCUUGCUACUUUGCCGGCGAGCGGCGGACGGGUGAGUAAUGUCUGGGAAACUGCCUGAUGGAGGGGGAUAACUACUGGAAACGGUAGCUAAUACCGCAUAAUGUCGCAAGACCAAAGAGGGGGACCUUCGGGCCUCUUGCAAUCAGAUGUGCCCAGAUGGGAUUAGGUAGUAGGUGGGGUAACGGCUCACCUAGGCGACGGUCCCUAGCUGGUCUGAGGGGAGGACCCGCCACACUGGAAGUGAGACACGGUCCAGACUCCGACGGGAGGCAGCAGUGGGGAAUAUUGCACAAUGGGCGCAAGCCUGAUGCAGCCAUGCCGCGUGUAUGAAGAAGGCCUUCGAGUUGUAAAGUACUUUCAGCGGGGGGGAAUGUGUUGAGGUUAAUAACCUCAGCAAUUGACGUUACCCGCAGAAGAAGCACCGGCUAACUCCGUGCCAGCAGCCGCCGUAA
RNAcentral lists this ribosomal RNA (506 nucleotides) under uncultured bacterium. Its description in RNAcentral is "partial 16S ribosomal RNA". It matches the Rfam family "Bacterial small subunit ribosomal RNA", at positions 29 to 523 of the family's 1533-position model. The record is from RNAcentral.